GAUGAACGCUGGCGGCGUGCCUAAUACAUGCAAGUCGAGCGAACGGACGAGAAGCUUGCUUCUCUGAUGUUAGCGGCGGACGGGUGAGUAACACGUGGAUAACCUACCUAUAAGACUGGGAUAACUUCGGGAAACCGGAGCUAAUACCGGAUAAUAUUUUGAACCGCAUGGUUCAAAAGUGAAAGACGGUCUUGCUGUCACUUAUAGAUGGAUCCGCGCUGCAUUAGCUAGUUGGUAAGGUAACGGCUUACCAAGGCAACGAUGCAUAGCCGACCUGAGAGGGUGAUCGGACAAACUGGAACUGAGACACGGUCCAGACUCCUACGGGAGGCAGCAGUAGGGAAUCUUCCGCAAUGGGCGAAAGCCUGACGGAGCAACGCCGCGUGAGUGAUGAAGGUCUUCGGAUCGUAAAACUCUGUUAUUAGGGAAGAACAUAUGUGUAAGUAACUGUGCACAUCUUGACGGUACCUAAUCAGAAAGCCACGGCUAACUACGUG
Molecule: ribosomal RNA, 497 nt
Filed under: uncultured bacterium
Lineage: Bacteria
Description: partial 16S ribosomal RNA
Rfam family: Bacterial small subunit ribosomal RNA
Source: RNAcentral